CCCAUAUGGUCGACCUGCAGGCGGCCGCGAAUUCACUAGUGAUUAGAGUUUGAUCCAGGCUCAGAACGAACGUUGGCGGCGUGGUUAAGGCAUGCAAGUCGAGCGAUCUUAUUGAGUUUUGAGGCCGCAAGGUCAAGAGACUUGAUUUGAUAGCGGCAAAAGGGUGAGGAAUACGUGGGUAAUCUACCUUCGGGACGGGGAUAACACUCCGAAAGGAGUGCUAAUACCGGGUAAGACCACGGCUCCGCAUGGAGCUGUGGUAAAAGAUGGGGACCGUAAGGCCUAUCGUCUGAAGAGGAGCCCAUGUCCUAUCAGCUAGUUGGCGGGGUAAUGGCCCACCAAGGCUUUUGACGGGUAGCUGGUCUGAGAGGAUGGUCAGCCACAUUGGGACUGAGACACUGCCCAGACUCCUACGGGAGGCUGCAGUCGAGAAUCUUUCGCAAUGGACGAAAGUCUGACGAUGCGACSCCGCGUGAGGGAUGAAGGUCUUCGGAUCGUAAACCUCUGUCACACGGGAAGAACGU
This 524-nucleotide ribosomal RNA is filed under the name uncultured bacterium. Its description in RNAcentral is "bacterial SSU rRNA". It matches the Rfam family "Bacterial small subunit ribosomal RNA", at positions 1 to 452 of the family's 1533-position model. The record is from RNAcentral.